RNAcentral lists this ribosomal RNA (253 nucleotides) under uncultured bacterium. RNAcentral describes it as "partial 16S ribosomal RNA". It matches the Rfam family "Bacterial small subunit ribosomal RNA", at positions 524 to 776 of the family's 1533-position model. The record is from RNAcentral.
UACGUAGGGGGCUAGCGUUGUCCGGAAUCAUUGGGCGUAAAGCGCGCGUAGGCGGCCAGAUAAGUCCGGUGUGAAAGUCACAGGCUCAACCUGUGAAUGCCGCUGGAAACUGUCUGGCUUGAGUCCGGAAGGGGCGAGUGGAAUUCCUGGUGUAGCGGUGAAAUGCGCAGAUAUCAGGAGGAACACCGAUAGCGAAGGCAGCUCGCUGGGACGGUACUGACGCUAAGGCGCGAAAGCGUGGGGAGCGAACAGG